RNAcentral lists this ribosomal RNA (527 nucleotides) under uncultured fungus. RNAcentral describes it as "eukaryotic LSU rRNA". The stretch from base 173 to 326 matches the Rfam family "5.8S ribosomal RNA". The record is from RNAcentral. Lineage: Eukaryota; Fungi.
UCCGUAGGUGAACCUGCGGAAGGAUCAUUAUCAGGUGGAGCAGGCCUCGCGCUUGCACCUCCCUCCCUUUGUAAACCAUACUCUGUUGCUCGAGCCAGCGGCUUCACGGCCCUGGCGAGAGGUUAUCACAACCCUUUUUUUAGAAUGUCUGAGUACCUAUUUAAUAGCAUAAAACUUUCAACAACGGAUCUCUUGGUUCCGGCAUCGAUGAAGAACGCAGCGAAAUGCGAUAACUAGUGUGAAUUGCAGAUUUACGUGAAUCAUCGAGUCUUUGAACGCACAUUGCGCUCCUUGGUUUUCCAGGGAGCAUGUCUAUCCGAGCGUCGUUGCAACACUCAAGCCCCGCUUGGUCUUGGAGCGCGUCCCGCCUGUCGGGGCCGCUCCCAAACGCAACUCGAGUCGCUCAGUGGCUGGCGCGCAGUAUUAUGUGUGCAGAAGCCCGGCAGCCUUGCCGCCCCCGUGCGGAUUCUUUCAGGUUGACCUCGGAUUAGACAAGGAUACCCGCUGAACUUAAGCAUAUCAAUAAG